GUGCUCGCUUUGGCAGCACAUAUACUAAAAUUGGAAUAAUACAGAGAAGAUUAGCAUGGCCCCUGUGCAAGGAUGAUACACACAUUCAUGAAGCAUUCCAUAUUUUU
This is a small nuclear RNA of Cervus hanglu yarkandensis (Yarkand deer), 107 nucleotides long. Lineage: Eukaryota; Metazoa; Chordata; Mammalia; Artiodactyla; Cervidae. The record is from Ensembl.